ACCAACAGUCCUGCCUGGAAAUACACAGAGAGCAGCGCUUAUUCAAUGAGCAGCAGACUAAACACAUCCAAAACUGAGGACAAGGAGUCUACGUAUUCUUGUGUUGUCAGACAUGAGUCCUCUGAAACGCCGUUUGAAAGCACUAUAAAGGAUGUUUUUGCCACAGUGACCUACAGCCAACCUUCAGCCACCUUGCUCCAGGGCUCUGGUGAACUUGUGUGCCUGGUCUUCGGCUUCAGCCCUGCAUCUAUUAGCAUCACUUGGUUUUCUGGUGACACCAAGGAACUGUUGGACUACAACACUAGUGAACCCAUCAGAGGCCCAAAUGGAAAGUUCAGCAUCCAAAGCCACCUUCGUCUGUCCCAUGGCAACUGGUUCCCUGGGGCAGUCCUCACCUGCAGGGUGACACAUGAGAACACCACCCAAUCCCUGAAUAUAUCUAAACCAGGCACGUUGGAGGGCUGUCAUUUCUUAGAUGAGAUUAUGCAUGCUGAUGUGAACCAAGACACAGAUGUGGAAAGCUGGUAUAUGGCUUUCACUUUCCUCUUUUUUUUCCUCAUCUCCGUCAUCUAUGGUGUCUUGGCUACUGUGAUUAAGACUAAAUGAUGAUGACUCCAGGACAGAUUAAUGAUCCAAAUGGGAACAUUUGAGGAUUUUUGAUGGUCUUACUUUUUGUAAACUGUAAUUAAUUAAUUUUUCUUUUUACAUUUGUAUAAUAUUUUAGAAAUGAUUCAUACUGUAUUAAUUUCUUUUUUGUUUCAGUCACUUUGA
This is a non-coding RNA of Micropterus dolomieu (smallmouth bass), 771 nucleotides long. NCBI's taxonomy places the organism in Eukaryota, Metazoa, Chordata, Actinopteri, Centrarchiformes, Centrarchidae. The record is from the annotation of a RefSeq genome assembly.